This 219-nucleotide ribosomal RNA is filed under the name Triticum aestivum (bread wheat). RNAcentral's name for it is "partial small subunit ribosomal RNA". The record is from RNAcentral. Lineage: Eukaryota; Viridiplantae; Streptophyta; Magnoliopsida; Poales; Poaceae.
AUGGCUAGGAGAUACGACUCCGAGUGGGAGGAAGUGAAGCUUAUCAAUGGCUACGCCAUGCUUAUGGCGUACGUGUCGUUCGCCUGCAGAGGCAUAGGCUACCUGGUGUUCACAUGGACCACGGUGGUUCUUCUCGGCGGAUUCGUCUCCAACAUCGACAAGGACGAUUUCUGGCGUCUCACAUUGAUUACCCUUGUGCAGAUUCUCUGGUUAGUAUAA